Molecule: ribosomal RNA, 479 nt
Filed under: Callistoctopus minor (long arm octopus)
Lineage: Eukaryota; Metazoa; Mollusca; Cephalopoda; Octopoda; Octopodidae
Description: partial 16S ribosomal RNA
Source: RNAcentral
GUUGGGCCUGCUCGGUGAGAAGAAAAAUUUAACAGCUGCGGUAUUAUAACUGUACUAAGGUAGCAUAAUAAUUUGCCUUAUAAAUUAAGGCUAGAAUGAAUGGUUUGACGAAAAUUAGACUGUCUUUAUUUUAUUUGUUAGAAAUUAAUUUUUAUAGUGAAAAAGCUUGAAUAAUUUAAGGGGACGAGAAGACCCUAUUGAGUUUUAUUUAUUAAUAUUUAAAUAUAAAUAUAUAAUUUAUAUUAUGAAAAUUAUGUUGUAUAUAUAUAUAUUUAAUUGGAUUUAAUUUUGAUUGGGGUGAUCAAGGAAUAAAGAUAAAGUAACUUCCUUAAAAUUAAUGAUUGUUUUUAUAGAGUAAUAAACCAAGUUUUUUGCUUAUAAGAUAAGUUACCAUAGGGGUAACAGCGUAAUUUUUUUUGAGAGUUCAUAUUGAAAAAAGAGAUUGCGACCUCGAUGUUGGAUUAAAAAUUACCUUAAGG